UGAGAUGAUGAUGGAAAUGGUUUUCCCUAUGUGGUUCGAUUGCUAAUAUGAUGGCGACAAUGUAUUAGCUCUAUCGAUCUCU
Small nucleolar RNA from Cynara cardunculus var. scolymus (artichoke), 82 nucleotides. RefSeq annotates it as small nucleolar RNA Z102/R77. The record is from RefSeq and is a predicted model, not a curated record. The transcript has a single exon. NCBI's taxonomy places the organism in Eukaryota, Viridiplantae, Streptophyta, Magnoliopsida, Asterales, Asteraceae.